CCUGCGCACUAGAGAACGCCCGAGCCUGUGGGCGGAGCCACGCCGGCGCCGGGUACCGCCCAUGGCCCCGCCCGCACGAACCCCGCGCCCGCCUCCGCACACACGCACUUCCCGCCACGCCUCCUCGCGGACCUCCACCGAGUCCCGCGGAGCCCAGCAAAGCGAGCCAGGAGCGAUGGACGGCCGAGUGCAGCUGAUCAAGGCCCUCCUGGCCCUGCCCCUCCGGCCCCAGGCGCGUCGGUGGAGGAACCCCAUUCCCUUCCCCGAGACGUUUGACGGCGACACCGACCGGCUCCCGGAGUUCAUCGUGCAGACGGGCGCCUACAUGUUAGUGGACGAGACCCUGUUCUCCAGCGAUGCCCUGAAGGUGACGUUCCUCAUCACCCGCCUCACCGGGCCGGCCCUGCAGUGGGUGAUCCCCUACAUCAGGAAGCAGAGCCCCCUCCUCAACGAUUACCGGGGCUUCCUGGCCGAGAUGAAGCGGGUCUUUGGCUGGGUGGAGGACGAGGACUUCUAGGCCGGGAGCCCCUCGGGCCUUGGGGGCGGGUGCUCGGGGGAGGGUCCGCUGCGCCAGUCGCCGCCGCCCAGAUGGCCACGGGCGUCCUCCCGCCGCGCCUCCUCCCUCCCUCACCUUCGAGUCGCCGCGAUCUCCCCCGCGCUCGCGUCCCCUCCCGCGUAGUGCUUGCCUUUGUUCCAGGAAUAGCGCUCCAGGUUCCCGCUGCCGCCGCCGCUGCCGCCGCCGCCGGGCCUGGCUCUGAGGCGGCCGCCGCCCUCUCCGGCCAGCCCGGCCCCUCCCAUGCACACUUGGACUCGGUCCUGCGCUCCAGCUGCAAGCCGGGCUCCCGUUACACACGGGACAGACCACCCACGGCCCGGCCGCUGCCAGCCGCCCGCCCCCUGCCCGACUGCCAGGCCCGCAUCCAGGUGCCCAGAGACCUUCGCUGCCAGCCGCCCGCCCCCUGCCCGACUGCCAGGCCCGCAUCCAGGUGCCCAGAGACCUUCGCUGCCACUGCCGCUGCCAUCCCGGUCCACCGCGUCCCGCCGACACACUACAGCCUUCAGCGGUCCGGACUCACCCGGGAGGUAUCUGAGCUGGCCACAGCCCCUGGACAAUGACUCCAGCAGCUCG
This 1129-nucleotide long non-coding RNA is filed under the name Camelus dromedarius (Arabian camel). RNAcentral describes it as "lncRNA (ENSCDRG00005015195.1)". Lineage: Eukaryota; Metazoa; Chordata; Mammalia; Artiodactyla; Camelidae. The record is from RNAcentral.